GUCUUUUCUCCUGCAGUAAGGUACCUAGCUGCUCCCUCUCAAUGGGGCUAAGCUGGUCGCCUGUCUGGACCUGCUCUACUAGAUUUGGGUGGGGAUUCUUAUCCACUAGGUCGGGUAAAGGAUGGCUGUCAGGGUCCUCGUGUGGGACUACAUAUGGCUGCCACAUCUUCUGGUCUCUCCAGAUACUCUUUGAGCAUAGUGAUGUUGUAGCGGAGUAGUGGUAUUAUUCACGGUAUCUCCGCUGGUAGACAGGAUGAAGCAGGUAAAAUUUAGGUAAAAUGCAGGUAGCGUAGUUACAGUCCUUUUCUCCUAAGGACUAGACGACACAUAGCUUGGAGGUUAAAACACUGGCAUCUCACCAGGCUGAGUCAAACUCUUUUAUGAUUACAGUUUCCUUU
This is a non-coding RNA of Pelobates cultripes (western spadefoot toad), 398 nucleotides long. The record is from the annotation of a GenBank genome assembly. Lineage: Eukaryota; Metazoa; Chordata; Amphibia; Anura; Pelobatidae.